This is an RNA transcript of Hemibagrus wyckioides, 3339 nucleotides long. It is a transcript of the gene named histone-lysine N-methyltransferase PRDM7-like, with no coding region annotated. The transcript has 6 exons. The record is from RefSeq and is a predicted model, not a curated record. Lineage: Eukaryota; Metazoa; Chordata; Actinopteri; Siluriformes; Bagridae.
AUUUGAUUUAUCAUUCCUUUAUAAUCUGUGUAAACAUUUUUGUAUUUUGAAUUGCCGUGGAAGACAAAGCAUUGAUUCUUAUUCCUGUUUUAAUGUUCACCCUUGACUUUAAAAAGCCUUAACAAAAAAUUCUGCAGAGAAAACUUAAGUGCAAUAUGAUUGUCGCUAUAGUUAACAGUGCAGCGUGACCCUGCAAGCUACAGUGUGUCAGGUGAGGGUUAAUUUUUGGUGUAAGCCGUGAUUUCCAGUGCCGAGUGAUGAACUCUAUUAACUUGAUGUAAAUGAGGUACCUCACAUAAAAAAAAAAAAAAAAUCAUUUGAUUGACCCAUAUGAUUCCUCUGACCACUUGUACAGCAUGCGUGGUACUUCUUUUAUUCAUGUAAAUGUUUUCAUCUUAUCCUGUCAUAUGUGACUUCUCAUUAAAUGAGUAUAAAGAGUUUUUAAGAAAAGAAGCUUCAAGCCUGGAAGGAAGCCACAGAAAUCAUCAGUGACUCUGGAGAGUGUUUUCUGGUUGCUAGUACAUUUAACUCUAGGCUUAUAGCUAAUACAAAGCUUAGGACGUAUCAUGUAAAUCAAACAACUUAUUUUCAUAUGGCUUUAAUGUGUUAUUUCAUUUGUGUUUAACUCGUUAGCAGAUGGAUAUGAAGGCAUGUCAUGGUGUACUGGUAGCAAGUACAGUUAGCUUGCAGUGCUAACCAAGUUCAUAAUGAAGCCUGGAAUUUAGUGUAGAACAAAUAACCAGUUUUUACAUGAUUAUGACUUUGAGUACAAAUAUAUCACAUUCUGUAGGAAAUAUAGUGCUGAAAGAUUCGUUUUAGCUACUGCUAGGACAGUGGAAACUGCACUAACAAUCAGUUCACCAAGAUGGUAUGAUCGUUUCUCAGUCAGUUCAUCAUGUCAGCUGUAUGCUGCCAAAACUGGUAGGUACACAACUGUAGGUGUGUCUGAAUCCCAAAUAUGAGGAGAAAGUAUAAAAAAAAUAUAUUUAUUCAAGUAAAAGAAAGUUUCAAACUGUGUUUUGGUAUCUUUCAUGUCGUUUGCUAACAUAGAAACCUAGGGCAGGUCUUGAUGAUGGUGAUGUGACUGUGUGUUUACUGUGCAAAGUCAAAACUGUGCUGGAUUUAACUUACACAAUUCCAUUAAAUUUUACUGAACUGUGCGCUUUUCUCUUGGACCAAAUGCAUGGCAUCUCAAUAUGAUAGAUGAAAAAUCAAAGGAGUGGAAUUAUUUAGAUUUCUAAUUCAAGGCUUGAGCGAGAGACUAGCUUUCUAUUUUCUUUAGCAAACAGGUUUUUGUCAUGAAAUAGCUCAUGUAGACUAACAAAGCGAACAAAUUUAGCUUUUUUCCCCUCUAUCUGGUGGAUGGGCUUGUGGUCACUGUUAAGGACACUAUUAAUCCAAACUGUAACUCUCCUCCAGUCCGGAUGGUGGCGAUAACGCGCCCAUUAGCUGCUUCUACAACCGCAAAGAAACACCGAGGAACAAAAAGAUGCUGCAGGUUUCUAGUCUGACCAGCUGAGCUAAUCAUGUACGAAUAAAAUAAUUUCUCACAGACUUUUACAGAGUUACAGUUAGAUUGGAUCCAUUUAGAAAUAAAUAAAAGCUCGUUAUGUCUGUGUCUGAGGAGUAAACCUCCGAUUUGCUUAAAAAAACCCUGACUGAGAGCUGUUAUAAUGAGUUCAGAAGGAGACAGAAAGCCUCAGACUCCUGAUCCUGCUUUCUCACAGACUUCAGAUGGAGGGACGUCAGGAGAGAUAGAGGUCUGUGUGAAGAAAGAGGAGACGCUGGACCUGAACAUCUACAACCAUGGAGACAAUCACAGACACAGACCUGAAGUCACCGUUAAAGAGGAAGAAGCUGACCAUGAAGACUAUCUCUAUUGUGAAUUUUGCGAAUCCCACUUCUUCAACAAGUGUGAGGUCCAUGGUCCAGCACUCUUCAUCCCUGAUACUCCUGUUCCCAUGGGGGUCACUGACCGAGCCAGACAAACUCUUCCUCCUGGACUAGAGAUCCGGAAGUCCGGUAUUCCUGACGCAGAUCUGGGAGUGUUUAAUAAAGGGGAGACUGUACCAGUAGGUGCACACUUUGGACCUUACCAGGGAGUGCUGGUAGACAGAGAGGAAGCUAUGAACAGCAGAUAUUCCUGGGUGGCACUUGACCUCAUUUUUGACCCUGUGGUGGAGGAGAGAGAUGAGGCAGAACCUGCAGAAGAGGAGGAGGAAGUGUCAGAGAAAGAAAAUAUCACUGAAAAUGAUGAAGAUUUUGUUCCAACUGACGAGGAGGAAUCAAGUGCUGAAGAGGAGCCUCCGGAAAUGUUUUCCAAUCCAAAGAUGGAAAUAUUCUCUGGUCCUCCAUUCCUCCAAGCGACCUACGCAGUAUAUUGCGGGCAGAGCGGGAGAGGUCCCGUUCAGAGGUCGAUGUGGAUUCAAACAAUAUAUUGCCAAGUAAACCUGGCAAGUAUGGAAUCAAAAUCUGGGUAGUCUGCGAUGCCCAGACUAGCUAUGUCUGGAACAUGCAGGUGUACACCGGCAAACCUGCAGAUGGCCAGCCAGAGAAGAAUCAGGGCCAGCGUGUGGUUUUCGAGGUAACAGAGGGUCUUCGGGGAAACAUCAUCACUUAUGAGCUGCUCAGGAGGAAGCUGGCCAUGGUGGGAACCGUGAGAAUAGAUGGGGCCAAAUUCGCCUCCCAGUUUGUGUUUACUGACACGCGUGCUCUUGUCUCCUACUGCCCCAAAAAGAGAAGGAAUGUGCUUCUCAUGAGCACUCAGGAUACUGCAGUUAUACAGAUACUGCCACAGAGGACUAAAAGCCCCAGAUCAUCCUCGACUACAACAAGAACAAGGGGGGAGUCGACAACCUCAACAAGGUCACCAGUGUUUAUAGUUGUAAACGAAUGACAGCCUGUUUGCCCUUGACGGUGUUUUACAACAUGCUUGAUGUGCAUACAACUCCUUUGUGCUGUGGAGAGAGAUGGACCCAAGCUGGAAUCAAGGGAAAGUGCCACAACAGGAGGCUGUUUCUUGAGGAACUUGGAAGCGAACUUGUGACACCUCUCCUAAGAGGACACCAGGUUCUUCCCCGCACGCUAGUCUCUGCUAGCUUGGUCAUGGAAGUCCAGCUGGGUGCAUCAACCUCUUCAGCUACCCCCCUCCACCCAGCUGCUCCUCCUCAACCAUCACCCAAAAGGAGGAGGUGCCAAUCCUUCACAAAUGACAUCAAAACCAGCACCAGGUGCCAAAAAGUCGAUGCACAUAUUUGCAAAACCCACAGCAUUGUAACCUGCCGCUCAUGCAAAUGAAGACACGCACACGCAGUUUCUGUUAAUUGUAUUUUUAUAAAA